This is a non-coding RNA of Pantherophis guttatus, 1664 nucleotides long. NCBI's taxonomy places the organism in Eukaryota, Metazoa, Chordata, Lepidosauria, Squamata, Colubridae. The record is from RefSeq and is a predicted model, not a curated record.
GCGCUGCGGGACGAGAGAAGCAAACGGAGCUUCCGGGCGGAUAAGAUGCGGGUCAGCGGGUGGCUUUUGGGGAAGCUCACAAAGUAGUUGGGAGUUCAGCUGGUACCUAAUCUCUGACUCGAUGCAACCGUCUUCCGACCGGGGAAAAGACACGCAAAAUCGUCGUGGGCGAAUGGAGUGGGUUGGGUUUUUUUUAAGAUCCUUUCGGUGUUUUCAUAUAGGUAGUCCUCAAUUUACGACCGCAGCUGAGCCCCACAUUUCUUGUUGCUAGCCAUCAGCUGGGAUUCAGGAGGCAGCAAUAGAUUGGGAGUGGACGGGGUAAGCGAACGGCCGGCGAUCCAACAGAGCAGAGAGUGAGGGUGAGUGAAGGCGUGGGGGGGGCAAGAGAGGGCUUUGGCGACCCCUGUGAAAUGGCCGUUCGACCCCCAAAGGGGUCGCGACCCCCAGGUUGAGAACUGCUGAUCUAAGGGGAGAGGGGAAUUCAAAAAGGUCAGAAGCUGCAUCGCUUUAUCCCAAAGGUGCUUUUCCAAAUGCAACCGGACUUUUCUUGUAAGAAAGACACUCAACUUUACAUAUUGAUCAAUUAUAGGGGUUGAUUAGCACAGCACACUAGGCAAAUAUGUGACUGGCUAGUCUCUGCUUCGCUCCAUUGUUUAGCCUUUUUGUAUUAGUGAAAGCAAACACUAAGCAACAAAGGUAAAACUUCCUUCCUCAAGCUUCAAGAGUUAAGCUUGUUUUUAAAAUGCAGCUUUCCGAGAAGCCUUGUCAAACCUCUACUAAUAUUGAAAAUAGCAAAAAGAGAGAAAUUACAUUGUUCUUAGUUUUAAGGCAAGGUGGCUGAAGAACAAAAAAAGGUUAACUUUAUUUUAUUAAAUGUAUAUGCUGCCCGUCUGAUUGUCCCAAGUUCAAGAGUUCAUCCCAUAACUGAAGCAUAAACUUGCUUUAGUAACUGGUUUUUGUACUAUAUAUUCAUGACAUUGCUUUUCUCUUUUCCCCAGCCCACAGCUGAUGUAGCUGAAAAUUGUUUUUGGCUACUUCCAGAGAUGUUGUUUUCCCCAUUUUCCCAAUAUAAGUUUUGCUGUGGACCUGAUCUUGGUGGCUUCUUUGACUAGGUGGCUGAUGAGGCAGUUAGAGCUGGAAACUGCCACUUUUGGGCCACUUUUGGGUACUGUAGUAACACAGAUAUCCCUUCUUGCUACCCUCAAAUUGCCUCUGAUUGUUAUAAAUUGUCCUCUGUGGCCAUUUUGGCUUGGGUUGUAGGAGAAACUAGAUACAAGUUAAUCCUCAACUAUCGGCCACAAUUGAGCCCCAAAUUUCCUUUGCUAAGCAAGGCAAUUAUUAAGUGAACCAUUUUACUAUCUUUGCCACAGUUGUUAAAUAAAUCUCGCUUCCCCAUUGACUUACAAAUAGCAACAGCAAUAGCACUUAGACUUAUAUACCGCUUCUCAGUGCUUUACAGUCCUCUCUAAGCAGUUUACAGAGUCAGCAUAUUGCCCCCAACAAUCUGGGUUCUUAUGCUGAUUACAUGACCCCGGGACAGUACAACCAUCAUAAAUGCAUGCCAGUUGCCAUGGGGAUGCUGAAAUAUUUGUAAUAUGGUCAUAAGUCAUUUUUUUUCAGUGUUGUAACUUUGAAUGUUCAUUAAACAAAUGAUUGUAAGUCGA